RNAcentral lists this ribosomal RNA (253 nucleotides) under uncultured bacterium. Its description in RNAcentral is "partial 16S ribosomal RNA". It matches the Rfam family "Bacterial small subunit ribosomal RNA", at positions 524 to 776 of the family's 1533-position model. The record is from RNAcentral.
UACGUAGGGUGCAAGCGUUAAUCGGAAUUACUGGGCGUAAAGCGUGCGCAGGCGGUUUUGUAAGUCUGUCGUGAAAGCCCCGGGCUCAACCUGGGAAUUGCGAUGGAGACUGCAAGGCUUGAAUCUGGCAGAGGGGGGUAGAAUUCCACGUGUAGCAGUGAAAUGCGUAGAGAUGUGGAGGAACACCGAUGGCGAUGGCAGCCCCCUGGGUCAAGAUUGACGCUCAUGCACGAAAGCGUGGGGAGCAAACAGG